UCCGUAGGUGAACCUGCGGAAGGAUCAUUAAUGCUAAUCCAAUCAACUCAACCAAGCCUUCAGUUGCAGUAGGUCUGGAUCAGGCUGGUGGCCUGGGACAUUGUGUGCUAGAGACGUCGUGCUUGCACUGACUGUCUUCUCACGAUGCGUCCCGGGCUAUUCAAGCCAGUCUGGUGCGGCCUCUACAGACGCGCUAGCCCUCGGGCUGGCGGUCAACCCCCCAAUUUUGAUCUCAAAUCAGGUAAGGCUACCCGCUGAACUUAAGCAUAUCAGUAAGCGGAGGAAAAGAAACUAACAAGGAUUCCCCUAGUAACGGCGAGCGAAGCGGGAAGAGCUCAAAUUUAAAAUCUGGUAGGCCUCGCCUAUCCGAGUUGUAGUCUAAAGAGGCGUUAUCUGGAUGCGGCUUUGUGCUCAAGUCCCUUGAAUAGGGCGUCACAGAGGGUGAGAACCCCGUCUGGGCACAGGACCGUAUUCUAUAUGAGGCGCUCUCUAAGAGUCGGGUUGUUUGGGAAUGCAGCUCAAAAUGGGUGGUAAAUUUCAUCUAAGGCUAAAUACUGGCAAGAGACCGAUAGCGAACAAGUACCGUGAGGGAAAGAUGAAAAGCACCUUGAAAAGGGAGUUAAAUAGUGCGUGAAAUUGUUAAAAGGGAAACGCUUGAAGU
This 661-nucleotide ribosomal RNA is filed under the name uncultured fungus. RNAcentral's name for it is "eukaryotic LSU rRNA". The stretch from base 228 to 661 matches the Rfam family "Eukaryotic large subunit ribosomal RNA", at positions 1 to 429 of the family's 3401-position model. The record is from RNAcentral. Lineage: Eukaryota; Fungi.